AGAGUUUGAUCCUGGCUCAGGAUGAACGCUGGCGGCGUGCCUAAUACAUGCAAGUCGAGCGAACAGAUAAGGAGCUUGCUCCUUUGACGUUAGCGGCGGACGGGUGAGUAACACGUGGGUAACCUACCUAUAAGACUGGAAUAACUCCGGGAAACCGGGGCUAAUGCCGGAUAACAUUUAGAACCGCAUGGUUCUAAAGUGAAAGAUGGUUUUGCUAUCACUUAUAGAUGGACCCGCGCCGUAUUAGCUAGUUGGUAAGGUAAUGGCUUACCAAGGCAACGAUACGUAGCCGACCUGAGAGGGUGAUCGGCCACACUGGAACUGAGACACGGUCCAGACUCCUACGGGAGGCAGCAGUAGGGAAUCUUCCGCAAUGGGCGAAAGCCUGACGGAGCAACGCCGCGUGAGUGAUGAAGGGUUUCGGCUCGUAAAACUCUGUUAUUAGGGAAGAACAAACGUGUAAGUAACUGUGCACGUCUUGACGGUACCUAAUCAGAAAGCCACGGCUAACUACGUGCCAGCAGCCGCGGUAAUACGUAGGUGGCAAGCGUUAUCCGGAAUUAUUGGGCGUAAAGCGCGCGUAGGCGGUUUCUUAAGUCUGAUGUGAAAGCCCACGGCUCAACCGUGGAGGGUCAUUGGAAACUGGGAGACUUGAGUGCAGAGGAGGAAAGUGGAAUUCCAUGUGUAGCGGUGAAAUGCGCAGAGAUGUGGAGGAACACCAGUGGCGAAGGCGACUUUCUGGUCUGUAACUGACGCUGAUGUGCGAAAGCGUGGGGAUCAAAC
Molecule: ribosomal RNA, 783 nt
Filed under: uncultured bacterium
Lineage: Bacteria
Description: bacterial SSU rRNA
Rfam family: Bacterial small subunit ribosomal RNA
Source: RNAcentral